UGGCGAAGAGGUCACACCCGUUCCCAUCCCGAACACGGAAGUUAAGCUCUUCAGCGCCGAUGGUAGUCGGGGGCUUCCCCCUGCAAGAGUAGGACGCCGCCGGGC
Molecule: ribosomal RNA, 105 nt
Filed under: Edaphobacillus lindanitolerans
Lineage: Bacteria; Bacillati; Bacillota; Bacilli; Caryophanales; Bacillaceae
Source: RNAcentral